GACGAACGCUGGCGGCGUGCUUAACACAUGCAAGUCGAACGAUGAAGCCUAGCUUGCUGGGUGGAUUAGUGGCGAACGGGUGAGUAAUACGUGAGUGACCUACCUUUGACUCUGGGAUAAGUCUGGUAAACUGGGUCUAAUACCGGAUACGACCAAUUUCCGCCCGGGGUGUUGGUGGAAAGCGUUAUGGCGUGGUUUUAGAUGGGCUCACGGCCUAUCAGCUUGUUGGUGAGGUAAUGGCUUACCAAGGCGACGACGGGUAGCCAGCCUGAGAGGGAGACCGGCCACACAGGGACGGAGACACAGCCCAGACUGAUACGGGAGGCAGCAGGGGGGAAGAUUGCACAAUGGGCGCAAGCCUGAUGCAGCGACGCCGCGUGAGUGAGUACGGCCUUCGGGCUGUAAACCUCUGUUAGCAUCGAAGAAGCGAAAGUGACGGUAGGUGCAGAGAAAGCGCCGGCAAACUACGU
RNAcentral lists this ribosomal RNA (470 nucleotides) under uncultured bacterium. RNAcentral's name for it is "partial 16S ribosomal RNA". It matches the Rfam family "Bacterial small subunit ribosomal RNA", at positions 28 to 506 of the family's 1533-position model. The record is from RNAcentral.